Long non-coding RNA from Nestor notabilis (Kea), 1241 nucleotides. RefSeq lists it as uncharacterized. The record is from RefSeq and is a predicted model, not a curated record. The transcript has 2 exons. NCBI's taxonomy places the organism in Eukaryota, Metazoa, Chordata, Aves, Psittaciformes, Psittacidae.
GGAUGCGGGGGGAGGGGAGGGGGAAGAUGUUUUGAGUCAAAAUCUGAACAGCCAUCUUUAAGCCUCAGCAGGUGGUGAACUAGUCAUCAUGUUGUAUAUAAUUCAGUGUUAUCAGAUGCAAAAUACCGACUGGGGGCUCUGCCAUCACCUGGUCACACUCAAUGUAGCUGCAUAGAACUAUAGCGUUGAUAAAGCCUUUGGUUAUUGCAACAGAAAUCUCCGACAGCCCUUGCCUAAACCCUACAAAGUAAAUCAUGACAUGACCAAAGGCCCAGUUGUUUGUUUUUAUGCUAUUGGUGUGUGUUGGCUCCCAUGACCUCUGGAGUGAUGUAAAUACCAGCUGGGUUAGGUGGGGGUGUCCCUCAUCGCCGGGGAUUCCUCGCAAAGGGCAGGAGCAGUUUAUCAGCACUUUUGCCAUCCGUAAGUAUGAAGUUAGUCUAGUACAAUAUUAAUGCCUUGGAGCAUUAGUAGCCAAAGCUCAACAAUAUCGUGUAACUCAGCUAAUGUGUGUCCUUUCUAUUUGAUGGGUAGGCGCUGCUAUCUGUAGUAAAUGUGUUUUUCUGGAGGAGAAGUGCAACGAGGGCCUGUUAAGUAUUGUGUGGUUAAUAUGCUCAAGCAUUGCCAAGUAAGCAAGAGGUUUUGCAGCAUCCAGGCGUAAUUCAACAUCAGUAUUAUAAAUGGUAGCAUACUACCUAGUUUAUAUGUAGGGUCAGUUUAACCAAUAACAAAUAGUUAUUAGCUUUUUUAUUACAUUUUUCCUUUACUGAUUUGGACUAGUGGGUUUAUGUCUAAUGUUUGUAAAAUGAUUUAGACUGCAUGGAUGUGUAAUAUAAACCACAUUUAAUGGAUUAUGAGCCACUUAAUUAAUGUGCUAUGAAAUCUUGGAUUACCUGUGUUUUAUAUUCUGCAGACGAUUUUGCAGUGGGUUCGCUAAAACUUGUAAAAUUGCUUAGAUAUAUUUUCAUUUAAAUCCAAGAAUGUGCACAAUAUUGGAAGGUGAUUAUCCAGGGGAUAAUCACGCUUUUUUUGAUAUCUCUAUUAAUUCUGAAGUUGAAUGCUAAGAGUUUAAAGGGGGGUGGGAGGGAAGCGAGAAUGAGAGGACGAGAGCUUGCGGUGAUGAGUGGACGUCGUUUCAGAGGGUAUACUAGGCUGCAAGAUCGUCUCUAUAGAUUUUUGAAAUGCUCCUGGUGCAUUUUAUAUUUCAUUGUAUCAUAUUUUCUAUAAAAUGCAAUUUCUGUAAA